CUGCGGCAUUCCUUAUCAAUUUGGUGCUCUCAGUUUUGUACUUGACGAGGCUCAGGGACGCGUGUCGCGGCGUUUCUGAUGCUGCCUUUGAGCUUGUGCGGUUCAGGCACAUCCCCCGCAAGGACCUCUUCAUAAUUAUCAACCGAUCCUUGAAGGAAGAAACCUUCCCUUGUAUCCUUACUUCAGCUCUGUCGUUUAAGGAUCUUUAUCGGUUGUUGGACAUUUCGUGGAACUAUUUCACCAUCGCAGAGGCAAUGGCGAGGAAACGUCCGGAAAAUAGCUCAUCAAGAAACUCCAGUCUCAUCCCCAACUUUCAAGUCGGGAAUGCCCCGGCCGCAAACGGGUGACCACGCCAAAAUUUUUCGAAUCGCCAGGAUGUCGAACGGGAGUUGCUCCUUACAGGCACUAACACAAAAAUCACGAUGACUGCAUCAGACAUGUUGGAGAUGUAUUCCUACCUCCAUGGUAUGCAGAGGAACUUUGCCUAUUUUGUUCAAUUUGAGGAUAAGCGUAAAAAUAAAAGAUUUUCGGUGA
Molecule: long non-coding RNA, 534 nt
Filed under: Bemisia tabaci
Lineage: Eukaryota; Metazoa; Arthropoda; Insecta; Hemiptera; Aleyrodidae
Description: lncRNA ENSSSA3NGG009775
Source: RNAcentral